Molecule: ribosomal RNA, 495 nt
Filed under: Triticum aestivum (bread wheat)
Lineage: Eukaryota; Viridiplantae; Streptophyta; Magnoliopsida; Poales; Poaceae
Description: partial small subunit ribosomal RNA
Source: RNAcentral
AUGCUUCUGACCGUUGGAUAUCGAGGCCUAAAGCAUAAGAGCAUCUCCAACGGCGGCGGUAAAUAUCACGCGCGCGGGGGAAACCUGUGUUUUAGCGCGCACGCUCCAGAGGGCGCGGGAAAUUCCGACGCGCGACGCGCGAAAAAGCGGCCCGACACGCACUAUAAAAUGCGCGCGCUCGAGCCGGCCCACUGCCCCGCCGCCGUCCCCUUCUUCCUCGCAUCCAGCGCCCCGCCGCCGCGCCCUUCUCCCGACGCCUUCUCCCCUCGCUGUAGCGCCCUUCUCCCGACGCCUUCUCCCUCCGCCGCCGACAUGCCGUCGCGCGUCUGGAGCAGCACCGACUACCGCGGCGUCCGCAUGCGCCCCUCCGGCAUGUUCAAUGCGGAGAUCCGCUCCGACGGCGUGCGUCUCGGUCUCAGGACGUUCAAGACCGCGCACCCGCCAGUGCGUAUGAUGCAGCGGCGUGGCGCCUCUCGAGGCCACGCUCGCAGAUGA